Molecule: ribosomal RNA, 854 nt
Filed under: Neofusicoccum luteum
Lineage: Eukaryota; Fungi; Ascomycota; Dothideomycetes; Botryosphaeriales; Botryosphaeriaceae
Description: eukaryotic LSU rRNA
Rfam family: Eukaryotic large subunit ribosomal RNA
Source: RNAcentral
UGCCUCAGUAACGGCGAGUGAAGCGGCAACAGCUCAAAUUUGAAAGCUGGCCCCCCCGGGGGUCCGCGUUGUAAUUUGUAGAGGAUGAUUCGGCGAGGGCUCCCGCCUAAGUCCCCUGGAACGGGGCGUCAUAGAGGGUGAGAAUCCCGUAUGCGGUGGGCUGCCUUAGCCAUGUGAAUCUCCUUCGACGAGUCGAGUUGUUUGGGAAUGCAGCUCUAAAUGGGAGGUAAAUUUCUUCUAAAGCUAAAUACCGGCCAGAGACCGAUAGCGCACAAGUAGAGUGAUCGAAAGAUGAAAAGCACUUUGGAAAGAGAGUUAAAAAGUACGUGAAAUUGUUGAAAGGGAAGCGCUUGCAGCCAGACUUGUCCGCAGUUGCUCAGCCGGUCUCCUGACCGGCGCACUCUUCUGCGGCCAGGCCAGCAUCAGUUCGGGCGGUCGGAUAAAGGCCCCGGGAACGUAGCUCCUCUCGGGGAGUGUUAUAGCCCGGGGUGGAAUGCGGCCAGCCUGGACUGAGGAUCUCGCUUCGGCUAGGAUGCUGGCGUAAUGGCUGUAAGCGGCCCGUCUUGAAACACGGACCAAGGAGUCUAACAUCUAUGCGAGUGUUUGGGUGUCAAACCCAUGCGCGUAAUGAAAGUGAACGGAGGUGGGAACCCUCGCGGGUGCACCAUCGACCGAUCCUGAUGUCUUCGGAUGGAUUUGAGUAAGAGCAUAGCUGUUGGGACCCGAAAGAUGGUGAACUAUGCCUGAAUAGGGUGAAGCCAGAGGAAACUCUGGUGGAGGCUCGCAGCGGUUCUGACGUGCAAAUCGAUCGUCAAAUUUGGGUAUAGGGGCGAAAGACUAAUCGAACCAUCGAC